RNAcentral lists this ribosomal RNA (495 nucleotides) under uncultured bacterium. Its description in RNAcentral is "partial 16S ribosomal RNA". It matches the Rfam family "Bacterial small subunit ribosomal RNA", at positions 28 to 507 of the family's 1533-position model. The record is from RNAcentral.
GAUGAACGCUGGCGGCGUGCCUAAUACAUGCAAGUAGAACGCAGAGUGUAUAGCGUGGCUUUCUAGACGAUUUACGGAGGGUUGAGUAAGGGUUAGGAAAGCUUCGGGAACCUGGGUGGUAACUAUGGGAAACGAUAGGUAACGAUACAUAAUAACACAUAAUACAUGAUAUCUGAUUAAAAGUGGCAACAACUCCACUACGAGAUGCAACUGCGUUGUAUUAGGUUGUUGGUGAGGUAACGGCUCACCAAGGCGACGAUACAUAGCCGACCUGAGAGGGUGAUCGGCCACACUGGGACUGAGACACGGCCCAGACUCCUACGGGAGGCAGCAGUAGGGAAUCUUCGGCAAUGGACGGAAGUCUGACCGAGCAACGCCGCGUGAGUGAAGAAGGUUUUCGGAUCGUAAAGCUCUGUUGUAAGAGAAGAACGAGUGUGAGAGUGGAAAGUUCACACUGUGACGGUAUCUUACCAGAAAGGGACGGCUAACUACGUG